RNAcentral lists this ribosomal RNA (244 nucleotides) under uncultured bacterium. RNAcentral describes it as "partial 16S ribosomal RNA". It matches the Rfam family "Bacterial small subunit ribosomal RNA", at positions 32 to 250 of the family's 1533-position model. The record is from RNAcentral.
AAUCAACGCUGGCGGCGUGCCUCAGACAUGCAAGUCGAACGCGAAAGUCCCCUUCGGGGGACGAAGUAGAGUGGCGCACGGGUGAGUAACACGUAGGUAAUCUACCUUCGGAUGGGAAGUAACAAUCGGAAACGGUUAGGCUAAUACCGCAUAAUGCAGCGGCGACCUAAUGGUGACAGUUGUUAAGUACGGGGAGUCGAAAGACCUCGCGUCUGAAGAGGAGCCUGCGGCGGAUUAGCUAGUU